Molecule: ribosomal RNA, 1225 nt
Filed under: Kalidasa lanata
Lineage: Eukaryota; Metazoa; Arthropoda; Insecta; Hemiptera; Fulgoridae
Description: SSU rRNA
Rfam family: Eukaryotic small subunit ribosomal RNA
Source: RNAcentral
CCCGCACCGUCGGUUCACCGCCUGUCGGUGUUCAACUGGUGUGUAUGCGGGACGUCCUGCCGGUGGCGGUCCGGUUCCCCGUGGGUACGUAGGGGCGUCCUUGCGCACGCUUGCGUCGUCCCCGAAGGCCUGCGCGGUGUAUCCGGCCGCCUUUUCAAUCCCGUCGCGGUGCUCUUCACUGAGUGUCGAGGCGGGCCGGCACGUUUACUUUGAACAAAUUAGAGUGCUUUAAGCAGGCCCUGUCCCGCCUGUAUGUUGUGUGCAUGGAAUAAUGGAAUAGGACCUCGGUUCUAUUUUGUUGGUUUUCGGAAUCUGAGGUAAUGAUCAAUGGGGACAGGCGGGGGCAUUCGUAUUGCGACGUUAGAGGUGAAAUUCUUGGAUCGUCGCAAGACGGACCGAAGCGAAAGCAUUUGCCAAGUAUGUUCUCGUCGAUCAAGAACGAAAGUUAGAGGUUCGAAGGCGAUCAGAUACCGCCCUAGUUCUAACCAUAAACUAUGCCUGCCAGCGAUCCGCCGAAGUUCCUCCGAUGACUCGGCGGGCAGCUUCCGGGAAACCAGAGCUUUUGGGUUCCGGGGGAAGUAUGGUUGCAAAGCUGAAACUUAAAGGAAUUGACGGAAGGGCACCACCAGGAGUGGAGCCUGCGGCUUAAUUUGACUCAACACGGGAAAACUCACCAGGCCCGGACACCGGAAGGAUUGACAGAUUGAGAGCUCUUUCUUGAUUCGGUGGGUGGUGGUGCAUGGCCGUUCUUAGUUGGUGGAGCGAUUUGUCUGGUUAAUUCCGAUAACGAACGAGACUCUAGCCUACUAACUAGGCGUACCCGGUAUCCACAAUCGUGCUACCGGCGGUCAAAUUUCUUCUUAGAGGGACAGGCGGCUUCUAGCCGCAAGAGACUGAGCAAUAACAGGUCUGUGAUGCCCUUAGAUGUCCUGGGCCGCACGCGCGCUACACUGAAGGAAUCAGCGUGUCUUCCCUGUCCGAAAGGACCGGGUAACCCGCUGAACCUCCUUUGUGCUAGGGAUUGGGGCUUGCAAUUGUUCCCCAUGAACGAGGAAUUCCCAGUAAGCGCGAGUCAUAAGCUCGCGUUGAUUACGUCCCUGCCCUUUGUACACACCGCCCGUCGCUACUACCGAUUGAAUGAUUUAGUGAGGUCUUCGGACUGGUGCGCGGAGGCCGCAUCCACGGUCUCCGAUGUUGCCGGAAAGAUGACCAAACUUGAUCAUUU